This 69-nucleotide transfer RNA is filed under the name Marmota marmota marmota (Alpine marmot). It matches the Rfam family "tRNA". Rfam says of the family: Transfer RNA (tRNA) molecules are approximately 80 nucleotides in length. Lineage: Eukaryota; Metazoa; Chordata; Mammalia; Rodentia; Sciuridae. RNAcentral also lists the same sequence under 1 other name. The record is from Rfam by way of RNAcentral.
GGGGUUGUGGCUCAGUGGUAGAGUGCUCACCUAGCAUGUGUGAGGCAAUGGUUUCGAUCCUCAGCACCA